UUCAAGUGCUCCAUCAUCAUCUUCUUCAGAUUUGAUGCCACGUCAAAUGAACAUUGCAUAUAGUAAGUGGCAUAACAACAGGCAUUCUGGUAAACACCUUUAUUCUUUGAGGAUAACUGGACACAAGUUUGGUGACAAUAGUCUUAAUGAUAUAUGUCACCUAAGACACUUGAGGCUUCUUAGAGUGUUGCAACUGGAUGACUCUUCAAUUCUGUUGAGUGAUUCUUUGUUGAAUGAAAUAUGCAGACUGGUUCAUUUGAGAUACUUAGAGAUUCGCACAGAAGUUAAAUCUCUGCCUUCGUCGUUUUCAAAUCUCUUGAAUCUGGAAACUCUGUGGGUGAAUAAAUAUGGACCACCCAUGGUAUUAUUACCAACAAUUUGGAAUCUUAUAAAGUUGCGAGUGCUGGCUAUAUAUAAAUGUUUCUUCUUUGUUUUGUAUAAGAAUGAGUCAAUACUGGUUGCAGAGAACUCAAAGUCAGAGAGCUUGAGAUUAUUACGGGGACUCGAAGUUUCCUAUUCAAAAGACACAGAGGAUAUUUUCAAAAGGUUUCCCAAUCUUCACAAGCUUCGAUUUGAUCUCAAGGAAUCAUGGGAUUGUUCAAGAGGGCGAUAUCGGUUCCCGAAAUUGGACUUCUUAAAUGAACUAGAAUCUCUCGAAGUAACUUUUAUAAGUUCAAAUUCAAAUGAUAGUGCGCUCUCUAUAGCGACAAAUCGGCUUUGGGAUUUUCAUUUCCCUUCGAGUGUAAAAAUGUUGUGUUUGCGUGAGUUUCCUCUGACAUCCGAUUCACUAUCAACAAUUGGAAUACUGUCCAACCUUGAAGAGCUGUACCUUAAAGACACAAUCAUCGAGGGGGAAGAAUGGAACAUGGGGGAGGAAGACACCUUCCAGAAUCUCAAAUGUUUGACAUUGCAGCGAGUGAAUCUUGCUAAGUGGGAGGUUAGAGAGGAAUCCUUUCCUGUGCUUGAGAAAUUACGACAGCGGGAUUGUCGUUAGCUUGAGGAGAUUCAGCCAAGUUUCGGGGAUAUUUGUUCAUUAAAAAGUAUCGAACUGAAGUGGAGCCCUCAACUUGUAGAAUCUGCUCUGAAGAUUAAGCAAGAUGUUGAAGAUAUGAUGGGGGAUAUUCAGGUCCUUGUUUAUAACUGAUCAAGUUUUGAGCAUUUUUACCUUGGGAAAAUAGGUGAGUACAGACGAAUUUAUUACCUCCUCAUUUUCAGUAUAAGUGGCAGAGUUUGACCAGUGUAAUUUUCUUUUGCAGAGUUUGACGAGUUGUUUGCAUAUCAUAUGUUACUGCUCAAGUCCAAAAACAUAUGAUGGAAUAAUUCUUUUGGAAGUUGAUUUGGAGGAUAGCAAGAAGUGAAACAAAAGGUGGGCAACCUCUGUACUAUAUGAAAGUUAUCUUAUACCUCAGAUUUUUCAAGUUUUUAUAUAUCUUUCAACAAAUACCUUCACAAUCAGCUCAUCGGCGCAUAGAGUUUUAGUUGUGAUGCAGGCUGGUGGAAUUCACACGCACCAAGAAUCAGCCCAUCGACGCAUUUGGAGUUGGAGGCUGCUGUAUCAUGAUCGAGAUGUGAAUUCAAUUUAAGUCAGAGUGUAUAUAAUAUAGGCAAGUACAGUGAUGAAGAAGUUGUGAAUACAAUGCCAUUCUCCUCAUCUCUUUCACCAAUCUUUCAAAUGCUACCCACUGAGGGCUCAAAUUUUUAAAAGCAGAAUAAUGGGUGUAAUGCCACUUCCAUUAUUACUAUUCAGCACUAUGUGGGAUUAUACUAGGUCAAAAUAAUUUGAAUUCCUUUAUUUUCCGUAAAGAAGAGGACGUGAUGAGGGUUAUAGUAUUAAGUUAUGACAAUUUAUGUGAUCCCUUAAAGUCGUGCUUGGUUCACCUUGCAUGUUUUCCGGAGGACGAAGUAAUUCCUGUCCGUAAUUUGGAAAUUUUAUGGCCUGCUGAAGGAUUUUUGGAGCAGAGAGAGAAGAAUAGUGUGGAAGAAGUGGUUGCGAUUUAUCUGGAUAAUUUAAUUUCCAGUAGCUUGGUAAUUUCUUUCGAUAAAAUAGGUGACAAUCGGACUUGCCAAAUUCAUGAUCUUGUGCAUGAGUUUUGUUUGAUAAAAGCAAGAGAGGAAAAGUUAUUUGACUUGAUAAGUUCAAGUGCUCCAUCAUCAUCUUCUUCAGAUUUGAUGCCACGUCAAAUGAACAUUGCAUAUAGUAAGUGGCAUAACAACAGGCAUUCUGGUAAACACCUUUAUUCUUUGAGGAUAACUGGACACAAGUUUGGUGACAAUAGUCUUAAUGAUAUAUGUCACCUAAGACACUUGAGGCUUCUUAGAGUGUUGCAACUGGAUGACUCUUCAAUUCUGUUGAGUGAUUCUUUGUUGAAUGAAAUAUGCAGACUGGUUCAUUUGAGAUACUUAGAGAUUCGCACAGAAGUUAAAUCUCUGCCUUCGUCGUUUUCAAAUCUCUUGAAUCUGGAAACUCUGUGGGUGAAUAAAUAUGGACCACCCAUGGUAUUAUUACCAACAAUUUGGAAUCUUAUAAAGUUGCGAGUGCUGGCUAUAUAUAAAUGUUUCUUCUUUGUUUUGUAUAAGAAUGAGUCAAUACUGGUUGCAGAGAACUCAAAGUCAGAGAGCUUGAGAUUAUUACGGGGACUCGAAGUUUCCUAUUCAAAAGACACGGAGGAUAUUUUCAAAAGGUUUCCCAAUCUUCACAAGCUUCGAUUUGAUCUCAAGGAAUCAUGGGAUUGUUCAACAGGGCGAUAUCGGUUCCCGAAAUUGGACUUCUUAAAUGAACUAGAAUCUCUCGAAGUAACUUUUAUAAGUUCAAAUUCAAAUGAUAGUGCGCUCUCUAUAGCGACAAAUCGGCUUUGGGAUUUUCAUUUCCCUUCGAGUGUAAAAAUGUUGUGUUUGCGUGAGUUUCCUCUGACAUCCGAUUCACUAUCAACAAUUGGAAUACUGUCCAACCUUGAAGAGCUGUACCUUAAAGACACAAUCAUCGAGGGGGAAGAAUGGAACAUGGGGGAGGAAGACACCUUCCAGAAUCUCAAAUGUUUGACAUUGCAGCGAGUGAAUCUUGCUAAGUGGGAGGUUAGAGAGGAAUCCUUUCCUGUGCUUGAGAAAUUACGACAGCGGGAUUGUCGUUAGCUUGAGGAGAUUCAGCCAAGUUUCGGGGAUAUUUGUUCAUUAAAAAGUAUCGAACUGAAGUGGAGCCCUCAACUUGUAGAAUCUGCUCUGAAGAUUAAGCAAGAUGUUGAAGAUAUGAUGGGGGAUAUUCAGGUCCUUGUUUAUAACUGAUCAAGUUUUGAGCAUUUUUACCUUGGGAAAAUAGGUGAGUACAGACGAAUUUAUUACCUCCUCAUUUUCAGUAUAAGUGGCAGAGUUUGACCAGUGUAAUUUUCUUUUGCAGAGUUUGACGAGUUGUUUGCAUAUCAUAUGUUACUGCUCAAGUCCAAAAACAUAUGAUGGAAUAAUUCUUUAGGAAGUUGAUUUGGAGGAUUGCAAGAAGUGAAACAAAAGGUGGGCAACCUCUGUACUAUAUGAAAGUUAUCUUAUAUCUCAGAUUUUUCAAGUUUUUAUAUAUCUUUCAACAAAUACCUUCACAAUCAGCUCAUCGGCGCAUAGAGUUUUAGUUGUGAUGCAGGCUGGUGGAAUUUGGACAAGAGGGGUUGCUCUGAUGGUAAGAAACCCCCACUUCCAACCGAGAGGUUGUGAGUUCGAGUCUCCGAAAGAGCAAGGUGGGAAGUUUCUUGGAGGGAAAGAUGCUGGGGGUCUAUUUGGAAACAGCCUCUCUACCCCAGGGUAGAGGUAAGGUCUGAGUACAUACUACCCUCCCCAGACCCCACUAUGUGGGAUUAUACUAGGUCAAAAUAAUUUGAAUUCCUUUAUUUUCCGAAAAGAAGAGGACAUGAUGAGGGUUAUAGCAUUAAGUUAUUACAAUUUACGUGAUCCCUUGAAGUCGUGCUUGAUUCACCUUGCAAGUAUUCCGAAGGACGAAGUAAUUCCAAUCCGUAAUUUGGAAAUUUUAUGGCCUGCUGAAGGAUUUUUGGAGCAGAGAGAGAAGAAGAGUGUGGAAGAAGUGGUUGCGAUUUAUCUGGAUAAUUUAAUUUCCAGUAGCUUGGUAAUUUCUUUCGAUAAAAUAGGUGACGAUCAGACUUGCCAAAUUCAUGAUCUUGUGCAUGAGUUUUGUUUGAUAAAAGCAAGAGAGGAAAAGUUAUUUGACUUGAUAAGUUCAAGUGCUCCAUCAUCAUCUUCUUCAGAUUUGAUGCCACGUCAAAUGAACAUUGCAUAUAGUAAGUGGCAUAACAACAGGCAUUCUGGUAAACACCUUUAUUCUUUGAGGAUAACUGGACACAAGUUUGGUGACAAUAGUCUUAAUGAUAUAUGUCACCUAAGACACUUGAGGCUUCUUAGAGUGUUGCAACUGGAUGACUCUUCAAUUCUGUUGAGUGAUUCUUUGUUGAAUGAAAUAUGCAGACUGGUUCAUUUGAGAUACUUAGAGAUUCGCACAGAAGUUAAAUCUCUGCCUUC
This 4512-nucleotide long non-coding RNA is filed under the name Nicotiana benthamiana. Its description in RNAcentral is "long non-coding RNA (NBEN_LNC030835)". Lineage: Eukaryota; Viridiplantae; Streptophyta; Magnoliopsida; Solanales; Solanaceae. The record is from RNAcentral.